UUCGAGGGUGUUAUACAGGUGCUGCAUGGCUGUCGUCAGCUCGUGCCGUGAGGUGUUGGGUUAAGUCCCGCAACGAGCGCAACCCUUGUGACUAGUUGCCACUUCCACUUCGGUGGGAAGCACUCUAGUCAGACUGCCCGUGAUAAGCGGGAGGAAGGUGGGGAUGACGUCAAGUCCGUAUGGCCUUUAUGCCCAGGGCUGCACACGUGCUACAAUGGAUGGUACAGAAGGACGCAAGACCGCGAGGUGGAGCAAAUCCCCAAAACCAUCCACAGUUCAGAUUGGAGUCUGCAACUCGACUCCAUGAAGCUGGAAUCGCUAGUAAAGGCGUAUCAGCUACGACGCCUUGAAUACGUUCCCGGGCCUU
Molecule: ribosomal RNA, 367 nt
Filed under: uncultured Lentisphaerota bacterium
Lineage: Bacteria; Pseudomonadati; Lentisphaerota
Description: bacterial SSU rRNA
Rfam family: Bacterial small subunit ribosomal RNA
Source: RNAcentral